GCACUGCAACGGCUUCCUGGCGCAGAGUUAUUUUAAACGGAGCA
Molecule: non-coding RNA, 44 nt
Filed under: unclassified sequences
Description: SAM-SAH-Weickhmann-2018 RNA
Rfam family: SAM/SAH riboswitch aptamer
Source: RNAcentral